AUUGAACGCUGGCGGCAUGCCUUACACAUGCAAGUCGAACGGUAGAGGUAGCAAUACCUUGAGAGUGGCGAACGGGUGAGUAAUGCAUCGGAACAUGCCCAGUCGUGGGGGAUAACGUAGCGAAAGUUACGCUAAUACCGCAUACGAUCUAUGGAUGAAAGCGGGGGACCGUAAGGCCUCGCGCGAUUGGAGUGGCCGAUGUCAGAUUAGGUAGUUGGUGGGGUAAAGCCUACCAAGCCAACGAUCUGUAGCUGGUCUGAGAGGACGACCAGCCACACUGGGACUGAGACCCGGCCCAGACUCCUACGGGAGGCAGCAGUGGGGAAUUUUGGACAAUGGACGCAAGUCUGAUCCAGCAAUGCCGCGUGCAGGACGAAGGCCCUCGGGUUGUAAACUGCUUUUGUACGGAACGAAAAGUUCGGGGUUAAUACCCUUGGGCGAUGACGGUACCGUAAGAAUAAGCACCGGCUAACUACGUGCCAGCAGCCGCCGUAA
RNAcentral lists this ribosomal RNA (495 nucleotides) under uncultured bacterium. Its description in RNAcentral is "partial 16S ribosomal RNA". It matches the Rfam family "Bacterial small subunit ribosomal RNA", at positions 30 to 523 of the family's 1533-position model. The record is from RNAcentral.